This is a long non-coding RNA of Calypte anna (Anna's hummingbird), 313 nucleotides long. RefSeq lists it as uncharacterized. The transcript has 3 exons. NCBI's taxonomy places the organism in Eukaryota, Metazoa, Chordata, Aves, Apodiformes, Trochilidae. The record is from RefSeq and is a predicted model, not a curated record.
CCGCCCCGCGCCUUCCCACAAUGCCCGAAGGGACUCCCGGGAGCCACCGCCCGUCGGGGAACGCUGCGGGGGCCGGGGCGAGGGUUGUUUGGGUGAGAUGGAGAGCUGAUCCUAAGCCAGUUACUAGCAAGGUUUGAGGGUGAAUGUCUUCCACUGGUCCAAGGUCAAAUGCAGCAUCAUGGGAGUGGAGGACUUCUGUGGACAGACAACAGCCAGUUCAGACAUGAGAACUGUGCUCCCUGAAGCAUCCCUUACCUCCCACCAAGAUGCACAGUACUGGUCAGUAGCUAUCUACUCCAUGAUGCAUAAAUCC